GGGGUUGUUUGGCUUUGACAGCUCGUAUGUGGGAAUGUAAGCAUGCCGGACGUUGGAAGCAGGUUCCGUAACAGCUAACUUCCGAGCCUAUUAUAAAUGGCACAAAUAAUAAUUUCGCUUUAGCUGCCUAACAAGAGUUAAGCACAAAGCUGUUUCCCUGAAAGCCCUUUUUCUCGGCGUUUAGGUAGAAGCAUCGCAAAGGAGAAAAUAGUUUUUGUAAGCCUCGAUACAAAAGCGAAAACUAAGAGGAUAAGUAGUGUAUGGGUUCGCCUUGUACCAAUACGCUAUCGAAAAUCAAACAAAGGCUAAGCAUGUAGAAAGCAUUUUUGCAGCGUGUUUGGACGAGGGUUCGACUCCCUCCAACUCCACUA
RNAcentral lists this transfer-messenger RNA (371 nucleotides) under Bacteroidales. Its description in RNAcentral is "UBA5266 sp012518765 Standard tmRNA". It matches the Rfam family "transfer-messenger RNA". Rfam says of the family: Bacterial tmRNA, also known as 10Sa RNA or SsrA, is named for its dual tRNA and mRNA-like properties. Its role is to liberate the mRNA from a stalled ribosome. RNAcentral also lists the same sequence under 1 other name. Lineage: Bacteria; Pseudomonadati; Bacteroidota; Bacteroidia. The record is from RNAcentral.